This is a long non-coding RNA of Hemicordylus capensis (graceful crag lizard), 2735 nucleotides long. RefSeq lists it as uncharacterized. The transcript has 3 exons. The record is from RefSeq and is a predicted model, not a curated record. NCBI's taxonomy places the organism in Eukaryota, Metazoa, Chordata, Lepidosauria, Squamata, Cordylidae.
AGAGCAGCCUUCAUGUACCUCCCAGGGCCGGCGACGUUCGCUUUCGAAAGAGCAGGCCGCGUCGUGCGGGCGGCUCAAAACACACGCAGAGAGCCGCCGUGCACGUUUCGGCAGGAGGGUUUGCUUUUGCAACGGGCGGGUCUGAGCGCCCCGGGGUGCUAGAUUUGCACGUUCUGCUGUACGCCAGGGAUGCAUGCAAUUUAAAACCCCAGCAGAGGACUAUGAUGCAAGCCUGCAGCCGAUUCUUUGAUGUUGUUUUCUGAAACAAACAGCUUCAACGCAGCUUCCUCUCUGACAGUGAAUAGUGAGCAAAUGGCUGAGACUGUCCAUCCACUUCGUAUAGGCAGCCUGGAGGAGAAACAGGCUAUGCCUUCUCCAGCAAUCAGUGUGAUUAAAUGGAAUUUAGGAUUUAAGGAUUUCCCUUGUUCUAUAUGGUUUGCUUUUUGUCUUGCUAAUUAGUUCUGUUUAAAAGAGCAGUGGUGACCACACACUGUGAUGUUACUGGGUGAGCCUGGAUUAGUUGUGCUUGUCUGACUUAAUUUGGAGAAUAAAAUAUUUCAAAAGAUGUUUUGCUCAUCUAUUGACUCUUGCAUUAUAUAUGAAGACCCAUACAAAUAGCUGUAUGAUAGCUGACUUUACAGUCUCUCAGAAAAGUAAAUUAUUUGUAAGUUAGAAGAGGCAAGAAAACCUCAGACAGAACACUAAUAGUUUAAAAUAUUAAUUUAUUAAAUCAAGGCUAGUACUGUUCCCAAAUCCAAAAAUUAGUUCAGCAUCCUAAUCAUUCCAGCCAAAACUAAUUACAUCCACAAUUAAUCACAUAUUUUAAAUAUUCUGAAGGGUUUUCUUCCACAGAACCACAUAUAAUGCCUUUAAAUAAAACUUAACUACAAAAUGAUUAUACCUAAUUAAUAGGGAACAGAGAAGAUGAUAUACUGGGGCACAUUACUAUUCAUUGACAAAAGAAAAUUUUAUUGAAAGGCAGUGGCUGACAUCCAGACUAAAUUACUCCUGAGUAUACCUAUUGAAAUGAAGUAGUCUUUUAGAGUAACUCAGAGUUAUCCUAUGGGAUAUCAGCCUGUAUAUUUAAUUGGGGGGGCACCACUUUUAAUUAGGAAAACCAUUCAAGUUAUAUCAUUUAAACAACUUAACAAUUAAAAAGCCUAUUAUCUUUUACUGAUAUUUUUAUUUAUCCCAUUAUUAAACUACAAUCUAUAUAUAAGCAUGUUACAUACCAGGCUAUCUACUUUUUUUCUGUGCUAAUUUUCUCAUAAACAUAUCGUGUAAUUACAAAUGCAUUUUUGAGAAGCAGCCCUAGAUAUUAAAGCAUCCAUCUAAUAUAAAGCAAUCUAAUAUCUCUUCAGGACAGAAUUCAUGCUGAUAUUCAGAAAAUUUAAUACCUCCAAAGUUUAAUUCAUUUUAUAUAAAUGUAUUGCUAUGACUGAAAAGGUCCUACGAAUAACUGGCAAGGUUAGCUGGCAACCAAUUAAUAUGUCCUGCUUUCUCCCAGAAGACAAAGCUGUGAAUGGAUAAAGUAGCUCAGCAGAGUAUGAAGUUGUAAAAUUUAAAGUAAAAAAGACCUGCAACUGACUUGUAUUCCUUACGCCUGACAGUUUUCUCUCUCCCCACAUACAUGUGUGUAUAAUUUGUGUCAUCUCUAAUGCAAAGUCUGUGUUGUACAGUAUUUAGAUUGUGAGAACUGAUACACACUGUGCCCUAAAUCAGGAGAGAUUCAUAUGGCUUCUACCUUCAAAAAACGACACUUGAGAGUCACAGGGUACUAAAUUGUGUGAAUGUGUUUGGUAAUACUGAUGUUUAUUUUAUGUCUUCCAACUAGCAGGUCACAAUGGACUCUUCAAAUGACCCAGUUCCACAGGAAUCUCAGCAUAAAGUGACUUAAUUUAGUCGUAAUUUCUGUGAUAAUUUAGUUAUCCUAAAUUACGACAGAGCUGGGGAAAGUGGUUGUGUGAAAAGACACACUUUGGGUUUUUGAACUAACAAAGUCUAGAUUUUUUUUUUUAAGUUCCAAGUACUGUAUAUACAGGCACAUUUCCACACAUCAUACAGUAUUACAGAUGUCAAUAUUUUUUUUAAAGUCUGACAUAAAUAAGCAUUUUAAUUUUUGUUCACUGCAGGUUCAUUAGAGAUCAGAAGGCAAUGGAGGAGGCACCGGUAAAUCACUUCUCUUUCGCAUUGCCAAUCGACAGAAAACACAAUUGAUUUCCACUUUGUCUUCAUUAUUCUGGAAGAUUAAGAAAGGCUUCUCGCAUUCUUCACACUGAUUUUUUUAAAAAAGAACAUUAUCAGUGAUUCAACCGCAACAGACUUUACAGAUGGCUAAGCUGGGACCGAGUGGCAGUGGUGAAAUAUCGGCACUGAGACACAUACAUCGUAAAAGAAAAAGGGUGCGGAGGAAGUCAGUACUGAAAAUAAUAUAACUGUCAGGAUAUUGAAAAUGGCAUGUACAGUAUAAUGAUCUUUAUUAGACCGAUGUAAUGAAGUGAAGAAAAAUACUCUCAAUAUGCUCUUUGAAUUAUUCUUAAAGUACAUUUUAAAAGCUUCUUUACUCAUUUGGUGACUGAUCCUGCAUAGUCAGUUGGAGUUUUGCACAGCAAAAGUAAGUCCCCCUUUGCUAAAAUGGAAGCUUACAGAGUACCUUUAAACUUAGCCUUUUAUAUACUUCUCUUGCAUCCCAGACAAUUAUUGUUUUGUCAUAACCACCAGACACGACAAGUGAU